Molecule: ribosomal RNA, 523 nt
Filed under: uncultured bacterium
Lineage: Bacteria
Description: partial 16S ribosomal RNA
Rfam family: Bacterial small subunit ribosomal RNA
Source: RNAcentral
GACGAACGCUGGCGGCGUGCUUAACACAUGCAAGUCGAACGGACAGACAGAGAGCUUGCUCUCUUGAAGUUAGUGGCGAACGGGUGAGUAACGCGUAAUCAACCUGCCCUUCAGAGGGGGAUAACAACGGGAAACUGUUGCUAAUACCGCGUACGAUUCAUGAACGGCAUCGUUUAUGAAUGAAAGGUGGCCUCUAUGUAUAAGCUAUCGCUGAAGGAGGGGAUUGCGUCUGAUUAGCUAGUUGGAGGGGUAACGGCCGCCAAGGCAAUGAUCAGUAGCCGGUCUGAGAGGAUGAACGGCCACAUUGGGACUGAGACACAGCCCAAACUCCUACGGGAGGCAGCAGUGGGGAAUCUUCCGCAAUGGACGAAAGUCUGACGGAGCAACGCCGCGUGAGUGAUGUAGGUCUUCGGAUUGUAAAGCUCUGUUAAUCGGGACGAAAGAGUUCUGCGUGAAUAAUGCAGAAAAGUGACGGUACCGGAAUAGAAAGCCACGGCUAACUACGUGCCAGCCGCCGCAGUAA